UGGGGAAUAUUGGGCAAUGGGCGAAAGCCUGACCCAGCAACGCCGCGUGAAGGAAGAAGGCUUUCGGGUUGUAAACUUCUUUUCUCAGGGACGAACAGAUGACGGUACCUGAGGAAUAAGCCACGGCUAACUACGUGCCAGCAGCCGCGGUAAUACGUAGGUGGCGAGCGUUAUCCGGAUUUACUGGGUGUAAAGGGCGCGUAGGCGGGAAAGCAAGUCAGAUGUGAAAUCUAUGGGCUUAACCCAUAAACUGCAUUUGAAACUGUUUUUCUUGAGUGAUGGAGAGGCAAGCGGAAUUCCUAGUGUAGCGGUGAAAUGCGUAGAUAUUAGGAGGAACACCAGUGGCGAAGGCGGCUUGCUGGACAUUAACUGACGCUGAGGCGCGAAAGCGUGGGGAGCAAACAGGAUUAGAUACC
RNAcentral lists this ribosomal RNA (416 nucleotides) under uncultured bacterium. RNAcentral's name for it is "bacterial SSU rRNA". It matches the Rfam family "Bacterial small subunit ribosomal RNA", at positions 355 to 786 of the family's 1533-position model. The record is from RNAcentral.